CCUACGGGUGGCAGCAGUAGGGAAUUUUCGGCAAUGGGGGGAACCCUGACCGAGCAACGCCGCGUGAACGAAGAAGUUCUUCGUAAUGAAAAGUUCUUUUAACAGGGAAGAAAGAUAAAUUUGACGGUACCUGACGAAUAAGCUCCGGCUAACUACGUGCCAGCAGCCGCGGUAAUACGUAGGGAGGGAGCGUUAGCCGGAUUGAUUGGGUUUAAAGGGUGCGCAGGCUGAAGAUCAAGUCAGCGGUAAAAUUGAGAGGCUCAACCUCUUCGAGCCGUUGAAACUGGUUUACUUGAGUGAGCGAGAAGUAUGCGGAAUGCGUGGUGUAGCGGUGACAUGCAUAGAUAUCACGCAGAACUCCGAUUGCGAAGGCAGCAUACCGGCGCUCAACUGACGCUCAUGCACGAAAGUGUGGGUAGCGAACAGGAUUAGAUACCCCAGUAGUC
RNAcentral lists this ribosomal RNA (446 nucleotides) under uncultured bacterium. RNAcentral's name for it is "partial 16S ribosomal RNA". It matches the Rfam family "Bacterial small subunit ribosomal RNA", at positions 338 to 795 of the family's 1533-position model. The record is from RNAcentral.